This 354-nucleotide ribosomal RNA is filed under the name Triticum aestivum (bread wheat). RNAcentral's name for it is "partial small subunit ribosomal RNA". The record is from RNAcentral. Lineage: Eukaryota; Viridiplantae; Streptophyta; Magnoliopsida; Poales; Poaceae.
AUGUGGCACAAGACCGGCAAUACCUUGCCUCGAUGGUCAACGGCCGCCAGACGGGCAACAAAAAAGGUUCUGGUGCUGCACACCAACAAGAACUUCGACCAGCAGAGGACCAACUGGGUGAUGCACCAGUACCACAUCGGGGACCUAGAGCAAGAGAAGGAGCGGGAUCUGGUCCUCUGCAAGAUUUUCUACCAGACGAACACUAGGGCCAGGAGUAGUUUGGUAUUGGUAGUUGUACUACCUUGUCGUCCGCAAGUUGGUAUUGUUGUUAACGAUCUUUUGGCCCAGCCUAUGACGACAACAGGGCACAAAGAUCCAGCAGGUAUCUACUGGCCUCUGGCCUGCCAGCGUUAG